GAUGAAGAACGUAGCGAAAUGCGAUACGUAAUGUGAAUUGCAGAAUUCAGUGAAUCAUCGAAUCUUUGAACGCAUAUUGCGCUCUUUGGUAUUCCGAAGAGCAUGCUUGUUUGAGUAUCAGUAAACACCUCAAAGCUUUUGGAUUUUUUAAUCGAAAAGCUUUGGACUUGAGCAAUCCCAACACCAAUCUUUUUGAGAUCGGUGGCGGGUUGCUUGAAACGCAGGUACAGCUGGACAUUCUCCUGAGCUAAAAGCAUAUUCAUUUAGUCCCGUCAAACGGAUUAUUACUUUUGCUGCAGCUAACAUAAAGGGAGUUUGACCGUAUUGGCUGACUGAUGCAGGAUUUCACAAGGGUCGGCAACGAUUCUUGUUAAACUCGAUCUCAAAUCAAGUAAGACUACCCGCUGAACUUAAGCAUAUCAAUAAGCGGAGGA
This 434-nucleotide unclassified non-coding RNA is filed under the name soil metagenome. Its description in RNAcentral is "partial contains 5.8S ribosomal RNA, internal transcribed spacer 2, and large subunit ribosomal RNA". The stretch from base 1 to 120 matches the Rfam family "5.8S ribosomal RNA", at positions 35 to 154 of the family's 154-position model. The record is from RNAcentral.